UACGGAGGGUGCAAGCGUUAUUCGGAUUUACUGGGUUUAAAGGGUGCGUAGGUGGGUUGGUAAGUCAGUGGUGAAAUCCCCGAGCUUAACUUGGGAACUGCCAUUGAUACUAUUAGUCUUGAAUACCGUGGAGGUCGGCGGAAUAUGUCAUGUAGCGGUGAAAUGCUUAGAUAUGACAUAGAACACCAAGUGCGAAGGGAGCUGACUGCGCGAGUAUUGACACUGAGGCACGAAAGCGUGGGGAUCAAACAGG
Molecule: ribosomal RNA, 253 nt
Filed under: uncultured bacterium
Lineage: Bacteria
Description: partial 16S ribosomal RNA
Rfam family: Bacterial small subunit ribosomal RNA
Source: RNAcentral